Molecule: ribosomal RNA, 427 nt
Filed under: uncultured bacterium
Lineage: Bacteria
Description: partial 16S ribosomal RNA
Rfam family: Bacterial small subunit ribosomal RNA
Source: RNAcentral
UGGGGAAUAUUGCACAAUGGGCGCAAGCCUGAUGCAGCCAUGCCGCGUGUAUGAAGAAGGCCUUCGGGUUGUAAAGUACUUUCAGCGAGGAGGAAGGCGUUGUGGUUAAUAACCGCAACGAUUGACGUUACUCGCAGAAGAAGCACCGGCUAACUCCGUGCCAGCAGCCGCGGUCAUACGGAGGGUGCAAGCGUUAAUCGGAAUUACUGGGCGUAAAGCGCACGCAGGCGGUCUGUCAAGUCGGAUGUGAAAUCCCCGGGCUCAACCUGGGAACUGCAUCCGAAACUGGCAGGCUAGAGUCUUGUAGAGGGGGGUAGAAUUCCAGGUGUAGCGGUGAAAUGCGUAGAGAUCUGGAGGAAUACCGGUGGAGAAGGCGGCCCCCUGGACAAAGACUGACGCUCAGGUGCGAAAGCGUGGGGAGCAAACA